CUGCAGAAGUCAGCGCUCCUUCACAGCUCGCCACGUGUGAUGUUUAUCUGUCGAGAGAGAGAGGAAAGGGAUGCUUCACGUUAAGCUUACUGUAUUUCAGCCACCAAGUUCUAAAUGCUACUCUGAUUCCAUCUGGACUUCCCUAGGUAGACGACCUCACCAACGCUGCCUGGAGCCUCACCUUUCCAGAGCCCUACCCCACUAGGGGAAACAGAAACAGGCUGGGGGCACAGAUCCACCUGCUAAUAUCCAUGUUCACUGGAGAAGCAAUUAUAGAAGACAGAACUCCCACCAUCUGCACCCCCCAAAAAAGGUUUUUCUCCCAGAAGGAUAAAGAAUAGAGAAGCUUCCAAUGGAGGGGAUGGGACACAGAACUCUGGUGGUGGGAGCAGUGUGUAAUUGUACCCCUGUUAUCUUUCAAUUUUGUUGAUCAUUAAAUCACUAAU
Long non-coding RNA from Erinaceus europaeus (western European hedgehog), 446 nucleotides. RefSeq lists it as uncharacterized. NCBI's taxonomy places the organism in Eukaryota, Metazoa, Chordata, Mammalia, Eulipotyphla, Erinaceidae. The transcript has 2 exons. The record is from RefSeq and is a predicted model, not a curated record.